UACGGAGGGUGCGAGCGUUGUCCGGAAUCAUUGGGCGUAAAGGGCGCGUAGGUGGCGGGACAAGCGUGCGGUGAAAGCCUGGGGCUCAACCCCGGGUCGGCCGUGCGAACUGUUUUGCUUGAGCACUGUAGAGGCAGGCGGAAUUCCGGGUGUAGCGGUGAAAUGCGCAGAUAUCAGGAAGAACACCCGUGGCGAAAGCGGCUCUCUGGAACGGUACUGACGCUGAGACGCGAAAGCGUGGGGAGCGAACAGG
RNAcentral lists this ribosomal RNA (253 nucleotides) under uncultured bacterium. RNAcentral describes it as "partial 16S ribosomal RNA". It matches the Rfam family "Bacterial small subunit ribosomal RNA", at positions 524 to 776 of the family's 1533-position model. The record is from RNAcentral.